RNAcentral lists this ribosomal RNA (804 nucleotides) under Triticum aestivum (bread wheat). RNAcentral describes it as "partial small subunit ribosomal RNA". The record is from RNAcentral. Lineage: Eukaryota; Viridiplantae; Streptophyta; Magnoliopsida; Poales; Poaceae.
AUGGGCUUUAUUAGGUCACCUGCACCUCACACUCCAGUCCACUACUCCACAUCGUGCCUGCUGCUCCACUCCACCCUAAGCCGCCGCCGCCGCCGCCGCCGCCGAUCUGCGGUGGUGGGGCCGAUGGACGGCGACAACCUGCUCCGUCGCUCGCAGCCGGCGGGGCCGCUGGACGACGGCAACCUGCUUGCGGAGAUCCUCCUCCGCCUUCCCCCGCAGCCCUCAUCCCUGCCCCGCGCAUCCCUCGUCUGCCACCGCUGGCGCCACCUCGUCUCCGACAACGGCUUCCUCCGCCGCUUCCGCCUCCACCACCGACGCAACCCUCCCCUCCUCGGCUGCUUCAGUGAACGCCGCCUAGAGUUAUCUUUCAUGCCUAUGCUUGAGGCCCCCAAUCGCAUCCCCGCCGGGCGCUUCUCCUUGCAGCUCGACGACAUCAGACCAGCACCUGCUGCACAAGGGGGCGGAUUAGUUAUGCCUGACAAAGGUUUCAGCGUCCUCGGAUGUCGCCAUGGCCUGGUCCUAAUCUCCAUUCCAUCGUGGAAUCAGGUCCUGAUCUGGGACCCCGUCACCGGCGACCAGCACCGGAUUGCCCUUCCCCUGGGGUUCGAUGCAAAGAAAACCUAUAUCACCGGGGCGGUGCUCCGGUCCGCUGCCGGAGACGUCCACCACUUCCAGGUAGUCGUGGUAUGCAACGACAUUCAACAUACACGAGUGGUUGCCUGUGUCUACUCGUCGGAGACAGAUGAAUGGGGCAUGGGCAUUUGCGGUGGACAUGGUGGAGCUGAACAUCUGCACAACGCAUAA